GUCUUUUUGAUAUUUAUUUAAGGUCAGGCCUGCCCAAUGAUUUUUAUUUAAUGGCUGCAGUAUUUUAACUGUACGAAGGUAGCAUAAUCAUUUGUUUAAUAAUUUUAGACUAGUAUGAAAGGUUUAAUAAGAGUUAAACUUUCUUAUUUAUAAAAAUAAGAAUUUAUUUUUUUAGUGAAAAAACUAGAAUUUUUUUAUAGGACGAGAAGACCCUAUAGAACUUUAAUAAAUAUUUUUAUUUAUAAAUAAAAAUAUUUAUUAAAUUGGGGUGAUUUAAAUUUUUAAUUAACAAUUUUUAUUUGUGUCAAUAAUUUUUGAUUUUUAUGAUCCAAUAUUUUUUUGAUUAUAAGAUUAAGUUACCUUAGGGAUAACAGCGUAAUUUAAUUGGAGAGUUCUUAUCGAUAAUUUAAGUUUGCGA
RNAcentral lists this ribosomal RNA (418 nucleotides) under Membracioides sp. UCR ENT 00076304. RNAcentral describes it as "partial large subunit ribosomal RNA". Lineage: Eukaryota; Metazoa; Arthropoda; Insecta; Hemiptera; Schizopteridae. The record is from RNAcentral.